Molecule: long non-coding RNA, 1576 nt
Organism: Cercocebus atys (sooty mangabey)
Lineage: Eukaryota; Metazoa; Chordata; Mammalia; Primates; Cercopithecidae
Exons: 3
Source: RefSeq, a predicted model, not a curated record
CACCCCAUCAGGACCAAAUAGAAUUGAAACUUCAUUGCCUUUGCCUGUACUGAGCCUAAAAACUCAGGGUUUGAUAAGGUUACUGCACCAGUGAUACAAUUGUAGAUUUUUAAAAGCCUCCUCAAAGAGACAGAUGUUUGGGCUGAUUAAGAAUUGAGGAGGAAACCUGCAGCUGCACCAAGGAAUAAUCUAUUGGACAAAUAUUUUAAUAAAAAAAUAUGAAGAGAUCAGCCCGACCUUGCAAGGUCUUCUGCUUUAAAAAAAUCUUUAUCAAACCCCUAUUCUAUGGCUUCAAUAAACAGAACCCAUUACCUCACGGCAUCUUUUGUUGGCCCCAUACAAGAGAGAACAAAAUGGUUAUUCAGGGGAACGCUUUCGAUUUUUAUUGUGGGUAGCCUGCACAAAGAGCCGUGUUAUUGUAUUUAAAAGAACCAUCUGUAGCAGAAACAAUGGCAUCAAAUUAUCUUUGAAUACCCACUGAAAAAAACAUAAAGCUUUUUUUUUUAUUCUUCUUCUGUACGGUGGGGGGAUAGAGCAGUGUUAGGAUAACUGACUUUUUUGUUGUUCUCUGGGUGCAUUCUUCUCGCUCCCCCUCUCUCCCCCUCACCCUCUCUCUCUUCUCUCUCUCCCUCUCCCUCUCUCUCUCUCUCUCUCUUUUAAAAAAUCAGCCAUUUGGGGUUUUAAGCCAUAAACGAUUUUUCUUGUUGCAGGGGAUUGCAGUGGCAAAGCUAGGCUAGGUCUUGGAAGCUGGUGUAAGGCGAUGCGGGUGAAGGCAGGAGGCUGAUGGAAAGACUGGGGGGAAGAAAAGCCGAAAUGGAUUCACGGUGCCUUGGAUGAAGGACGAGAGGGGAACUGCAAGCUCCUUCAACUGGUUCUGUCCGGUGAGAAGUGAUCAAGCUUGGGCUGACAAGAGGCUCAGGGAACCCUCACGUUCUUUCGCUUUUUUACCUGCCAAUCAAACUGCUACAAGACAACACCCUGAUCUGGCAUGGACAUCGCGGGUCCAAGCCUGUAGCCCCAAAUCGGAUAAUCUCUGCAGCUGAUAACAAGCAAAAGAGAAGCCAGGCAACAGCCAUAUUAAAGAAGAAAACAAUCAACUCUGAGAUCCAACUUAGAAAUAAUGUUUCAUUCAAGAUAAGGCUCGUGGUUUAGGAGAUUGUGACCUGGCUUGCAUCAUUCUAAGACUUCUAUCAUCGGUUUUCAAAACCCAAGGAGGACCUCAUUCUCUGUGUGAUAGUUCCUCAUGCUUUGCCAGCCACUGGGUCUUUAAGGAAGCUUGCCAAGAGUUCCCAGCUGGGAAGGACAGUUCGAGUUCAUCAUAGACAGUGAGCUGGCACCACAGUUUAAGUGACUCACCAACCUGGUUGUCCACUUCAAAAUGUCAAGAACCACACUAUCUAAUUGAAAGAACUGUGUUUUAGCAAAGUGUAAUUGGAUCGCAUGGCAAGAUCAUCUCAAACUAUGUCUCUGACCUUGCCUUUCAGUGGCUGUUUGGAGCACAAGAGGAGAAAGGAAAUGAUUCCUGAAUUACAUAUUGCUUUUAAAAAUUAAGAUUAAUUAGUGGCCGGGCGCGGUG